This 914-nucleotide ribosomal RNA is filed under the name uncultured delta proteobacterium. RNAcentral describes it as "bacterial SSU rRNA". It matches the Rfam family "Bacterial small subunit ribosomal RNA", at positions 28 to 916 of the family's 1533-position model. The record is from RNAcentral. Lineage: Bacteria; Deltaproteobacteria.
AACGAACGCUGGCGGCGUGCUUAACACAUGCAAGUCUUGCGAGAAAGUUUCCUUCGGGGAAUGAGUACAGUGGCGCACGGGUGAGUAACACGUGGGUAACCUACCCUUCAGUUUGGGAUAACAUUUCGAAAGGGAUGCUAAUACCGGAUAAGUUCUUUAAGACUUCGGUCUUUUUGAGGAAAGAUGGCCUCUAUACUAUGCUAUCGCUGAUGGAUGGGCCCGCGGGACAUUAGCUUGUUGGUAGGGUAACGGCCUACCAAGGCAACGAUGUCUAGCUGGUCUGAGAGGAUGAUCAGCCACACUGGUACUGGAACACGGACCAGACUCCUACGGGAGGCAGCAGUGGGGAAUAUUGCGCAAUGGGGGAAACCCUGACGCAGCAACGCCGCGUGAGUGAUGAAGGCCUUCGGGUCGUAAAGCUCUGUCAGAGGGGAAGAAGGUAAUGGGGCUAAUACCCCCACCUACUUGACGGUACCCUCAGAGGAAGCACCGGCUAACUCCGUGCCAGCAGCCGCGGUAAUACGGAGGGUGCAAGCGUUGUUCGGAAUUACUGGGCGUAAAGGGCGCGUAGGCUGUUGUCUAAGUCAGAUGUGAAAUCCCACGGCUUAACCGUGGAACUGCAUUUGAAACUGGGCGACUUGAGUACGGGAGAGGGAAGUGGAAUUCCAAGUGUAGAGGUGAAAUUCGUAGAUAUUUGGAGGAACACCAGUGGCGAAGGCGGCUUCCUGGACCGAUACUGACGCUGAGGCGCGAAAGCGUGGGGAGCAAACAGGAUUAGAUACCCUGGUAGUCCACGCUGUAAACGAUGAGUACUAGGUGUUGCGGGUAUUGACCCCUGCAGUGCCGCAGCUAACGCAUUAAGUACUCCGCCUGGGGACUACGGUCGCAAGACUAAAACUCAAAGGAAUUGACGG